This 245-nucleotide ribosomal RNA is filed under the name uncultured bacterium. RNAcentral describes it as "partial 16S ribosomal RNA". It matches the Rfam family "Bacterial small subunit ribosomal RNA", at positions 528 to 772 of the family's 1533-position model. The record is from RNAcentral.
GAGGAUCCAAGCGUUAUCCGGAUUUAUUGGGUUUAAAGGGUGCGUAGGCGGUUUUAUAAGUUAGAGGUGAAAAUUCGGGGCUCAACUCCGGACGUGCCUCUAAUACUGUAUGACUAGAGAUUAGAUGCGGUAGGCGGAAUGUAUGGUGUAGCGGUGAAAUGCGUAGAGAUCAUACAGAACACCGAUUGCGAAGGCAGCUUACCAAACUAUAUCUGACGUUGAGGCACGAAAGCGUGGGGAGCAAA